Molecule: ribosomal RNA, 119 nt
Filed under: Pteropus alecto (black flying fox)
Lineage: Eukaryota; Metazoa; Chordata; Mammalia; Chiroptera; Pteropodidae
Source: RNAcentral
GUCUAUGGCCAUGCGACUGUGAACAAGCCCAAUCCUGUCUGAUCUCUGAAGCUAAGCAGGGUCGGGCCUGGUUAGUACUUGUAUGGGAGACCACCUAAGAAGACCAAGUGCGGUAGGUG